AAAAUGACUCUCAGCAACGGAUAUCUUGGCUCUUGCAACGAUGAAGAACGCAGCGAAAUGCGAUACCUAGUGUGAAUUGCAGAAUUCCGCGAAUCAUCGAGUUUUUGAACGCAAGUUGCGCCCGAGGCUCGUU
Molecule: ribosomal RNA, 133 nt
Filed under: Echinolejeunea papillata
Lineage: Eukaryota; Viridiplantae; Streptophyta; Jungermanniopsida; Porellales; Lejeuneaceae
Description: partial 5.8S ribosomal RNA
Rfam family: 5.8S ribosomal RNA
About the family: 5.8S ribosomal RNA (5.8S rRNA) is a component of the large subunit of the eukaryotic ribosome. It is transcribed by RNA polymerase I as part of the 45S precursor that also contains 18S and 28S rRNA.
Source: RNAcentral